AAGGGAGUGAUCUCGGUCGAAAUCAGCACCUGCACUCGGCAGAAAUCACAACUACUAAGGCAGCUGACACAGCUAUCUCAUUUCAAAGUGAAAGGACCCAGAAGUAGCAAAUUUGAAGUUGCUGAAGCUGAGCAAGUGUAUUGGAAGAGGUGGCUUUGGAACUAUCCACCUUGCAACAUAUGCUGGUACAUCUGUUGCAGUAAAAAAGAUCAAUAUUACAGGUGAAGAGGAGAAAGCAACUGCAUUACGGGACAUUACAGCACUAUUGCAUCUUCGUCAUCCCAAUAUCGUGAUGCUAAUGGGAUACCAUGUAAGUGAGCACAACAUUCUGCUUAUAAUGAACUAUAUUCAGUCUGGGAGUCUGCAUGAUAUACUCCAUGUAAG
This is a long non-coding RNA of Corticium candelabrum, 384 nucleotides long. RefSeq lists it as uncharacterized. Lineage: Eukaryota; Metazoa; Porifera; Homoscleromorpha; Homosclerophorida; Plakinidae. The record is from RefSeq and is a predicted model, not a curated record. The transcript has 4 exons.